ACGCAGCGGCGGCGGGGCGGAGGAGAGGGCGGCUCCGGGGCAGCCCGACCUCCGCGGGGAGGGUCGCGGGGCGUGAGGCGGUGGCUCGGCUGCUCUCCCCCGCCUCGGAUGUCUGCCGGGGGAAGACGACUCGCAGAUCCCGUAGAGCCUGGCCUCGCACAGAUAUUCAAGACAAUUCAGUAGUCUCAAGGUGGAUCAGCUCGGAUCCUCAUAGUUAAGCAUGGUAUCGGGGGACACUGUCUUCGUACCUGGAACGCUGAAAGAACCCGCACUGGAGCAGAGAAGAAAAAGAACAGUUUAGGUUUAAGUUGCUGCCAAAGCACUACAGUUAUAGAGGCAAUAAAUUCUUCCUUUGUACGGAUACUCAGGGUGUCUUCUCUCUAUCAUCUACAGAAUGUUUUCUUCCAGAAAGUCCUUCCUGGUAUCAUUCCACUAUGGUAGUGAUGUUUUCCAACCCAAUUAAAAGGCAAUACCCAAAAAUCAGUUGGAAAGCUAAACUUCUAGCUGCUUUAUUUUAAAAUGGUUUGGGGUUGUUUUUUCCAGUCUUUGUGAUAAGUUGGAAACUUCACAACUGUAACACAUGGAUAGCAUUAAACAUUGAACCUACCUGAGCAACUUCAUUCGUGAGUUUAACGUUCUUAGCUGCAGCAGGAACACUGAUGGAAGCCCUAACAAGAAUAUCUAGGUAGUUCAUUUUUGAGUAUUCCUGUUCCAAAAUAAAAUAUGGACAUUAGACACAGAACAGGGAAGAACUCUGACCUUCCAAAAAUGGCAGGUAGGAGAACUUACCUCUAAGAAAGUACUGUUCCACAGUCUGGAGCGCAGCACAAUAGAUGCCUUGCUGUCUAAACCCUUCAGAGGACACUUUAUGUCCACACAACGUGCAUUUACAUUGCAGUCCUGCAAUUAUAAGCUUCUACAUGUAAAUAAAAAUAUAUCCCUAUAAAUUGUUUAAAUCCCCCCCCAAAAUUAAAAGUUCAAUUAUAUGCACCAUAUUUAUGUGUGAGAACCAAACUCUGUUUGUACCGACAGCAAUAGGAAGAUACAAAGAAGAUGCUAUUACCUCUUUAUUUUAAUGUCAGUAACUCUAUGCAAAAAUCCUGUGCUGUAUAAUCUGAACUGUCAGAUUUAAAAAACCUCAAUGCUUUAUCUUAAAUCCAAGAGAUCCUUUCUUUCACCCAGCAAACUCAGAAAAGCCCUCUGAGCGACUGCAGAGAGGGCCAUCUGACAAGACUAUAGUUGGUGCAAUACGCUUACCAAGGUCUUGUAUUUUCUCUCUGAGAAUAAAGAAAAUGUCUUGCUGUCUGAAGUUUGCUUCUCUGCAACCUCACGUUUCCUUCUUGAGCUAUGGUAUUCCUUAAAAAAAAAAAGUUAAAAGAGUUUUAGUAGUUCAUCCUAAAUAUCUCCCAAUUCUGACCUAAUUCAGAGAAACAAAGAGUUCAGUGAGUGCUUUCUUGGUCCAAGAUGGGUGACAUGAUUAUGUAUCUCUACUUAUCUACACAUUUAUUGCUAAUAGUUGAGUCAGGACAGCUACUAGAAUUGGAGAGCACCUACAAAAAGGACAGCUGGCAAUGUUUUUUAAUAGGUCAAGGGGCCAUAAAGCUUUCAGUUGCAUUUCCAUUUUCAUUCUACAUAAACCACAUUAAUGUUACUAAGCUGAAAGAAUAAGAUAGUGCUACAGUCAGCAGAUGCUGAAAAAUGUCUUGCUAGACAGCCGUAACCGAAGGGCUGUGAAACCUGCUCAACAAAUGCUUUUUAUUGUAUUUGUUGUAAAUAGGUAAAAUUAAAAGAGAAAUGGCUUGCAUUUAAGAAGUACCUAGAAUUCCUCCAGGCUGGGAGAUGCUUACUGUUCUGUAUUGUUUUCUGGGGAAAAAUUGAAUCAGAUCUCAAAAAUGCUGAUGAAAUGUGUUGAAGCAAUCAGCAAUUUCAUCCUGUAAGAGCCCAUUGCAAAAACAGUCGCCGCAGCAUGGCAUCUAUCCUUGAGCAUAUUAUCCUCAUUAGCUGUUAUGAAGUCUCGUAAUAAACUUAACCCUUGCCCCAUUGUUCA
Colius striatus (speckled mousebird) is the source of this 2047-nucleotide long non-coding RNA. RefSeq lists it as uncharacterized. Lineage: Eukaryota; Metazoa; Chordata; Aves; Coliiformes; Coliidae. The record is from RefSeq and is a predicted model, not a curated record. The transcript is spliced from 4 exons.